UGCACCCCACUGAGGCCUCUUGUCUGGAGCAUGCUUGAGGCAGCCUAACUUCUGGCCAGACAAGACUAAAUGGAGGUAGAGAAAAGCCAUACAGGGAACAUGUUAUUUCAGCUGUAGUUCAUGCUUUGCUGGUCAGGCUGUCUUCACCAGGGAGCAAUUUGGGGGGCGGGGGAGGGAGAAAUCUGGUGAAAUAAAUUAGGCCAUCUCUGUGCAAAUAGCAAAGUGAUCACCAAGGAGAGACCAAAAAAAAUAAAUUGUACAGAAGUCCAGAAGUUAAGGAAAAAAAAAAAUACACAAAAACCCUCACGGACAUUCAAUUUGGAAUAGAUAUCUCAGCAACUUUUGCAGUGUGAAGCCCGAUCAUUUAGAUUCAGCACAGGUGGCAUAAACUCCACCCGUAUUUAAACUACACAUGCUGUGGCUGUUACAAAAACAGCAUGAAUCAGCAUUGCAUACAUGCCAGGAAGGUGCAAAUACGGAGGGGUGUGGCUGCACUCUAUUUUGGAUCAGUUUAGACUUACAUGCAGUUUCCAGACCUGUUCUUAUUUAAGAACUUUUUUUCUCCAGUUUGUAGUGUCACUAAAAUAUUGAGCAAGUUUUUGCUCAAUCUUUGACCUGGUUUGCCCAGGUGACUCCCCAGGUGCAUGCGGGAAUCUCCGUGUGGAGGAACAUACCUGGCUCACUCCACAGAACCACAACCAGCACCUGGAGGCAAUUUAAUCCCAUCAAUUUACAAAAGAAUGACAGUGAACAACUCUUUUCUCUAGCUCUCCCUCAAACUAAUCUGCUAUACAAGUUAGCAAAAGGCAUCCAUCCUUUACCAGGUGUUGCCUGCAGGCAAAGUUCAAACUAUUUAAAUAACUGACAGUGAGUAAACUAAAGUAGAUUGUUUUAGGUACAAAAUCAACUUGCAGUAAGAUUCAGAGCAUGUUUGUAAGAGGUGAUGCCCUCCCUAACCCGGGUUCUUACAGCAGUCAUGGGACUCUGUGGUUUGCUCAACAAAGCACAACAUGAAACCACAAGCUCAAAGAAAGAGAAAGAAGAAAGAAAAAAACUUCUGGAAAUGCUGGGAAGAGGAACGUAUAUAAUGAAACAUGAGGGAGUAUUUACAAUUCUGUUUUAGUUUUAAACAAAAUGUAGAAGCAAGCCUCCUUUACAGGGACAGCCCCAGGAUAACAUCUCCAAUAGUAUAACUGCUGACUUCAGGAAGCUUAUCUGUAUCUGCUUCUGAUCUUGCAAGAAGUUCUGUGGGGGCAAAUCUCUAUUCGGAUUAAUUUCCAGAAGCACAGUCUUAGAUAUGUGUGAUAAAUAGCGAAAUCUAAAUGAUGGCAAAAGGGAAACUAUCAGGAAGCUAAAAUGCAUUACAGAAAAAAAUAAAUAAAUAAAAAGGAGGACUUCUACAUCCUCACAAUUUAGGUAGAGUAAAAAAAAAUAAAUAUCUUCAGGUCUUUACUGAAAGCCCUGUCCUGAACAAUACUGUGCAACUAUGACUGCUGGCAAUGCAUAUCCUUCUUUCUGCUUACUGUCACAAUGAGACAAACUCUGCCUUCAGAAAGUACAGUAGUUGUUUCUGCUUUAAAACCUACAGCCCAGAACUGAGUCUGCUAGCAAGUCAACCUGGGAAAUCUAUCAGUAGCAGUCCCUGACCAAGAGCCAAAGGACAACCAGAAGCAGUGCGAUGAGAAGUGUAUUUACCUGAUAUGUGACCUUGGCCAUCACAGCCUAUCACUGGACAUCUAAAGAAAUACAGCAAAAGAACCCAUGUUUUCAAUAGAGAUAGAAGGUGAAGACAGGCUCAAGAAAGUCUGAAAAAACACAUCCAGCUGCCUAUGCCACUUUGCACUAAUUUUUAAGACUCGAUCUCCUGGGACUCACUCUACCUGAGCAUCCAAUUCACGUCAAGAUAUUUUGGGAGUUCAGUUGAUUUUAAGAUUAGGCAAUUUCAAGUAUACUUGGACAGCCUAAGAAACUAAACAAUUCAUUUAGAUAUUGUUUUACCGGAAAAUAAUUUUGAAAUUCUAUCACAGGCAAUAAAUCACAAUCUACAAGUCUAUGAAAAGUCACCAUUCUCUCUUCUCUAUCUAUGUUUCUGGCAUAAAGCAGAGGGUAGGUUUUUAUAUCUGGAAACCUUGUACUGUCUCAUGCAAAUACUUGCAAAGUAAGUUAGUUUUAUUAAUCUCUCUACUUAUCUAUCUAUUCAUCCAUCCAUCUAUCUAUCAUAGAAUAAUUAAAGAUCAUCUCCAAGAUCAUCUGGUCCACUCAUCACCCUACUACCAAUAUCACCCACUAAACAAUGUCCCUAAGCAUCAGAUCCAACA
Long non-coding RNA from Anas platyrhynchos (mallard), 2318 nucleotides. RefSeq lists it as uncharacterized. Lineage: Eukaryota; Metazoa; Chordata; Aves; Anseriformes; Anatidae. The record is from RefSeq and is a predicted model, not a curated record.